GUGCUCACUUCGGCAGCACAUGUACUAAAACUGGAAUGAUACAUAGAAGAUUAGCAUGGCCCUGUGCAAGGAUGACACACACAUUUGUGAAGCCUAAAAACACAAA
RNAcentral lists this small nuclear RNA (106 nucleotides) under Myotis brandtii (Brandt's bat). The record is from RNAcentral. Lineage: Eukaryota; Metazoa; Chordata; Mammalia; Chiroptera; Vespertilionidae.